Girardinichthys multiradiatus is the source of this 589-nucleotide long non-coding RNA. RefSeq lists it as uncharacterized. The transcript has 3 exons. Lineage: Eukaryota; Metazoa; Chordata; Actinopteri; Cyprinodontiformes; Goodeidae. The record is from RefSeq and is a predicted model, not a curated record.
GGGUCGAAGCGGAUUGGUCAAGCAGGGGAAGCCAUGGCGGACCAUAGCAACAAAAGCUGUUCGUGAAAAGGCUGGUGUCUAUCUCUGGUGGUCAUCAUGGUAAACCCUGUAUAGGAUGCCAGUCUAUUACAACGCAACACAGAGACAAACAACUAUGCACACACAUAAUCAUACCUAAGGAGCUUUAGAGAGACCAAUUAACCAGUGGAAGGCAGCCAGAGUGCCCGGAGAGAACCUAUUCAUACACAGUUAGAGCAUGCCAACUUCAAGAAGGAAGAGCCCAGGCUGGGACUCGAACACUGGACACUUCUUGCUGCAACAGAGAAAUACAUGUGCAUGUCCAAGCACGUAUACAGACAGGGUCGUGCGUGCAGACAGACAGUCAGCUGUGCCCUUCCCACAGCAAGUAGCACGAAAACAGAGGGCUGCCUGUCCCUGCCUUACACACACACACACACACACACACACACAAACUCUACAAAGAGCUCUCUACACACUCUUAAAGGGACAUGACACACAAUUAAACUUAACCGUCAAGAGCCAGCACCACUCCUGGACAACUACAAAGUACAUGAGCUGCAGCUGUGUC